This 4222-nucleotide long non-coding RNA is filed under the name Triticum aestivum (bread wheat). RNAcentral's name for it is "long non-coding RNA (TAES_LNC014205)". Lineage: Eukaryota; Viridiplantae; Streptophyta; Magnoliopsida; Poales; Poaceae. The record is from RNAcentral.
UGGCGCUGAAGCUGGUGGAGAACUACAUCGCAAGCAACCUAGAGGACGAAGUUUCCUUGACUUCCCUUUGAUACUCAUUUGCUCAGCCCCAUGCUUAUCAAUGGUGGCUGCAGAAACUGGAACCAAGGAGCAAGCUAUGCCUUUGCAUCUUUUUCUUGACCCUCCUAAAAAUCAUUAAACAGUUAGGCAAUUAAUUCAGAAGGGUAAAUGCAGAAAAUUCUAUGUGAUUUUCCUCUCCUUGGAGUGAAUAUCCUAUGUAAAGUCGAAGCAAAGGAGAGCCAAUAUGCUAACAGUUCAUAGCACAAGUUUAACAUAUGUGACAAAAAAAUGUUGUUGCUGCAUUUUUGCAUAGCAUGCCUACCAUGAGAUGAAUAUUAGAAGACUGAUUGGGUCGAGCAGGCUGAGAAAGAUCAUCGUGAUGGUGCUGGUAAACAUCUUGGGUUGGUUGACUGGAUUAUACAUUCACUCUCGAUGGAAAUCCUCAACCAGUAAACCAGCAGAAUAUCAAAAGAAGAAAUUCCGUUUUGUGGUUGGUGGGAUAUCAAUCCACAUAUUAAAUUGAUUCUAAACCCAGAACCAACACUACAAGCACAACAUUAAGUUUAUGGGUUCGAAAGGUACAUCAAAAAGUAUCUACAAAUAGUUUAACUUCAAAACAAGAGAUUGAGAUGCAUGUCUGUAUCUAGGUUUAUUUUUUUGUUCUUAGCAAUGAAAGUAGGAGAGACUCUUACUGUUCAAUUAGGCUAUAGAAGAAACAAGUCCAUUUCUCUUGUCAAGCGAAAUAACCCAGGAAGCUAAUUAAUAGUGCAAACGGAGCUUACUUUUUUCUAAGGAAAUUAUUUGCUUCACAUCACAUUUGUUCCUGCAAUAUUAUAAUUAUAAUUCAAUGUAUUGUUGGCAACAAACAAAUAUUUAUCUGAACAAAAUUCUAUAAGAAAGCGACGGGGCUCCCUGAAACUACAAUGCAAUGCACAUCUCAAGCAAAGCAACUUAUACAAUUCACGUGGGUAUUGAAUAUCAAAAUUCAUAUUAAAAUUAAUUAAUUUUCAUAUAACCGAAGCUCUCCUGGGUGAAAUGAAGUACUGUAUACUAUUCCCUCUUGGUUCGGCCUACAUGUUAUUUUCAGAAGUUGAAUUGCUGGACUCGACUACAACGCUACCCAUGGGUGUGACGGUGAGAUGUUAGAAGAGUCUGCCGGUGCUCAAGACCAUUUUGCCCCCUUCCUAGGAUGCAAAAUUAGUUCUGCGAAGACUAAAGGCAAAUUAAACUUGUCAUAUCAACAUAUCAGCUGUGGAGAAAGGUCUAGUGUUCUAGAAUGACAAACUAUACAAUAAGGUAAAUAGGCGUGAGUAGAUCACGCGCUAGAAUAAUCAUUGUUUUGCAAAGCUAAACCAGGAAAGGAAAAAACCCACACAAUAUUUAGAAAGACCAAAGCCGCAUAAAAGAACCUUCUAAUGAGAUGAAUAUACCCACAGGAAACAACUUUAAUUAGCAAAUUAACUACUCAUUUAUACUCAAAAUAAAUAGAAGCGCACUGAUGAUGUGCAUAUCCUUUCUCAGUUGACAGGUUUAAAAUUGUUGAUAGGACCAAAUGCACGGCAAAUUCAUGGCAGCAAUUGUGAAUAAAAAAGAAAAAGAAAAUAGAAUAACCUAAUUGAGCAACAGGCGACCAAGAAUACACUACAAAGGCAGUGCCGUGCGGCGGGCAAGAGUACAUUACUCAAGCCAGUAUGAAAAUACAUUAAGACAUGCAUACAGAUCUGGCUUUGUCAUGAGUUCUUCACAGCAUUCUGCAUACAUAAAUUGAAGGGGCUUCUUUAAUAAAGGCGGCAUGUUAUACUUUGCCACUCAUGAGUUGCAAGCACGUUGUUGUAGUUGGAUAGCCGCAAUCGGCAUCCUUCAACGGGCUAUCACUGGCUUCAAGUAAGUCUCGAAUUUCAGUUUUGUCACUUUGUCUAGAUUUUUGGCACUAAAUCAUGGGCGUUCUCAGUACACGCACCUCUGAAAAAUAAAGAGCACCCAUAUAAGCUUAAAUGCUUGGCCGAGGUCGGCUUAAAAAAGGACUUCUUCCUUGGUUAUUGUAGAACUACAUGGCCUAAGGUGCAGUUAUUUUAUUUCUGCUAUUUUGCAUUGCCAGCGUUCAUGUGUCACCUCCAACCUGCAUCAGCAAAAUAUGUAGGCCUCAGUAGUAUACUGGACAACUCCAAACCUAAUGGAAUUGCAUAAUUUCCAUACACCUGCAUCAGGCUUGCCUAUCAACUACUCAGGUAAGAGUUGAAACCGAGCUCAACCGGUAAGCAAAAAAAAAUUAGUUCAGGAAAAAAUGUCGUGCCCUUCUCGAGUCUCGACAGUACGCAAGAAUCAUGCCUAAACACUAUGUGCAGACAUGGUGAGAGAUGCCACCACAUGUCACGGUUGUAGACCAGAAAACAGCUAGCCAUUCCUAUUAUACAGAUUUGCAAGUCUUAGGGUGUGGUAAAAUUCUAGGUAACUAGGUUAGCACUGCCAUACUUGUCAUUUGGAUCAAUACGGCUGUUAUACAUCUCUGACCUCCUCAGUCCAUCAGUAAAAGAGCAAAUCAUGUAAGGCUUGAUUCAUAUAAGUAAGUGUGCAUGUGCAAUGCACGUCUUGUCAGGAAUAAAAAAAAAUUGAAUACACAAAGCUAAUGUAGAGAAACGUGCAGAGAAAACCAGUACCAGGACAUAGUAAAAGUAAACUCUGGAGGAAAAUAAACGUGCAUUGACCAUAUAUGACUAUAAAUGACACAACUAAGAAAGCAGUUCCAUGCUUUCAUGUGACAAACUUCAAUAAUGCUUAGUAGUUUGUACAAUAUAAUAUAAGCAAAUAUGAAAAUGAAAUAUGGUAAAAUCACCCAUCCAUGGCAGUUUAACCAAAUUAUGUAAGUUAACAAGGCAGAAGCAGAAACAGAGUUUAAGCAUGUUACCUUUCAAAUGACUGUAAGAUAUCUAACAUCAAGGAGUGAUCCCGAAAGUCAUACUCAUAGCAGCCAGAGAGGACAUUAGCGACCUCCGUAGGUAAAUUGUACGGGAACAUCGGUUUCUCUUUCUUCAGGACAACUGUCCGAUAAAUCUCAUCUGGUGAUUUGGCACACCAAGUCUGAGCGCCACUGAACAUCUCAAGAAUGCUCCAAGCGAAACCCCAAUGAGUCAGUCUUGUAACUAAUUGGGCCUCUGAUGUUUGGUCACCAAUGUUCUGGGGCAUGUAAUUUGGAGUCCCAAGUCUUUGGAUAAGAUCUGGAUUUGGCAGCGGAAGUCCAAACAGCAAGAAUAGUACAUCUACUGGAAGCAGCAAGAAUGCAGCACACAAUUACAUACAUCUAUCAUCUAUAAAUUUAAUCCUCGUUCCUACUUAACAUUGAAACGUUCAGUAGGGAUGCCUAAUAUAAACCCAGAUGCAAUAAUUGAUACUUAUAUGUUACCAUAUGACGAGGGUAUGUAGGCUGCAUCAUACGAAUCCAAAAGCAAUUGGAAUUCUGCAAGUAGCAAACAAAUCCCUAUGUCAGAAGGACUCUUUCCUCGAUUCUGGCUGUUUUUAUAUUACGAACAAAAUAGAGGCAAACCUGACGAGACCUCAUUUGGUCUGAUCAUGAUGAUAGAAUGCAAGCCCCUGACCAACCAAGCACUAAAUCAUGCUCAUCUUAUUGUAUGAAUUAUGAAUGAGCGAAUGAAACAGAGAUGUACAUUUAUCACAUACCAAAUCGAACAACACUACAAAGGACACUAAAAAAAGAGAGUACAAAUUUAGGGGGCAAAACCAUUACACACCCGAUGGUCGUUCACAUCGGCUGCCUCAGCCCCGCGCCGUUCUCUAACAAAAUUAUUGGAAUGCAAGUGGACGCCCCUUCCAUAAAUCGAUAAAUGUGAGAUUCCAAGAGACCUUUAGAUGUGCGAGUUGCUUUUUCACCAGUUCCCUUUUUGUCUCUAGCUGCCUUGCCACUGCCUAUAGUGUUCAGUCUAUCAUCAGAAAAUUUAGCUGCAAGCCUACAACGAUGCAACAAAAAUGAGUACAAGGCAUAAUACUGAUUGUGACUAAAAGAUUAAGAUUGUAUAAUUGUACUUGGCCAAGAAGCGUUUACCUACAGAAUAAAAAUAAAGUAAUAAAAGAAGCACAACACGCAUUACUAAUUUGUGAAUUUUCGUAGAAUAAAGAGAAAAGGGAUUAAUAAAUAAUAGUACAAAUCAGAAGCAUAACCAUACUCGGC